GACGAACGCUGGCGGCGUGCCUAAUACAUGCAAGUAGAACGCUGAAGAGAGGAGCUUGCUCUUCUUGGAUGAGUUGCGAACGGGUGAGUAACGCGUAGGUAACCUGCCUGGUAGCGGGGGAUAACUAUUGGAAACGAUAGCUAAUACCGCAUAAAAUGGAUUAUCGCAUGAUAAUCCAUUGAAAGGUGCAAAUGCAUCACUACCAGAUGGACCUGCGUUGUAUUAGCUAGUUGGUGGGGUAACGGCUCACCAAGGCGACGAUACAUAGCCGACCUGAGAGGGUGAUCGGCCACACUGGGACUGAGACACGGCCCAGACUCCUACGGGAGGCAGCAGUAGGGAAUCUUCGGCAAUGGACGGAAGUCUGACCGAGCAACGCCGCGUGAGUGAAGAAGGGUUUCGGAUCGUAAAGCUCGGUUGUAAGAGAAGAACGAGUGUGAGAGUGGAAAGUUCACAAUGUGACGGUAUCUUACCAGAAAGGGACGGCUAACUACGUG
RNAcentral lists this ribosomal RNA (497 nucleotides) under uncultured bacterium. RNAcentral's name for it is "partial 16S ribosomal RNA". It matches the Rfam family "Bacterial small subunit ribosomal RNA", at positions 28 to 507 of the family's 1533-position model. The record is from RNAcentral.